GACUGGGUUGAUAGGCCGGAUAUGGAAGCCAGGUAACUGGUGGAGUUGACCGGUACUAAUAGGCCGAGGGCUUGUCCUC
Molecule: ribosomal RNA, 79 nt
Filed under: Streptomyces dubilierae
Lineage: Bacteria; Bacillati; Actinomycetota; Actinomycetes; Kitasatosporales; Streptomycetaceae
Description: Streptomyces sp. DSM 41921 partial 23S ribosomal RNA
Rfam family: Bacterial large subunit ribosomal RNA
Source: RNAcentral